RNAcentral lists this ribosomal RNA (253 nucleotides) under uncultured bacterium. RNAcentral's name for it is "partial 16S ribosomal RNA". It matches the Rfam family "Bacterial small subunit ribosomal RNA", at positions 524 to 776 of the family's 1533-position model. The record is from RNAcentral.
UACGUAGGGGGCUAGCGUUGUCCGGAUUUAUUGGGCGUAAAGAGCGCGUAGGCGGCUCGUUAAGUGAGAAGUGAAAGCUGUGGGCUCAACCCACAAACCGCUUUUCAUACUGGCGAGCUGGAGUGAUGCAGAGGUGGAUAGAAUUCCUGGUGUAGCGGUGAAAUGCGUUGAUAUCAGGAAGAACACCGGUGGCGAAGGCGGCGACCUGGUCCUUGACUGACGCUGAGGCGCGAAAGCGUGGGGAGCAAACAGG